RNAcentral lists this ribosomal RNA (371 nucleotides) under uncultured bacterium. RNAcentral's name for it is "bacterial SSU rRNA". It matches the Rfam family "Bacterial small subunit ribosomal RNA", at positions 521 to 896 of the family's 1533-position model. The record is from RNAcentral.
UAAUACGAAGGGGGCAAGCGUUGUUCGGAAUUACUGGGCGUAAAGGGAGUGUAGGCGGCGUAGCAAGAUAGGGGUGAAAUCCCGGGGCUCAACCUCGGAACUGCCCUUAUAACUGCUAUGCUAGAGCUAUAGAGAGGAAGAUGGAAUAUCCAGUGUAGAGGUGAAAUUCGUAGAUAUUGGAUAGAACACCAGUGGCGAAGGCGAUCUUCUGGCUAUAUACUGACGCUGAGGCUCGAAAGCGUGGGGAGCGAACAGGAUUAGAUACCCUGGUAGUCCACGCCGUAAACGAUGAAUGCUAGUUGUCGGGAAUUAUCUCGGUGACGCAGUUAACGCAUUAAGCAUUCCGCCUGGGGAGUACGGUCGCAAGAUUA